RNAcentral lists this ribosomal RNA (253 nucleotides) under uncultured bacterium. RNAcentral describes it as "partial 16S ribosomal RNA". It matches the Rfam family "Bacterial small subunit ribosomal RNA", at positions 524 to 776 of the family's 1533-position model. The record is from RNAcentral.
UACGGGGGGGGCAAGCGUUGUUCGGAAUUACUGGGCGUAAAGGGCUCGUAGGCGGCCAACUAAGUCAGGCGUGAAAUCCCUCGGCUUAACCGGGGGACUGCAUCUGAUACUGUAUGGCUUGAGUUCGGGAGAGGGAUGCGGAAUUCCAGGUGUAGCGGUGAAAUGCGUAGAUAUCUGGAGGAACACCGGUGGCGAAGGCGGCAUCCUGGACCGACACUGACGCUGAGGAGCGAAAGCCAGGGGAGCAAACGGG